AUUGAACGCUGGCGGCAGGCUUAACACAUGCAAGUCGAGCGAGCGGCGGACGGGUGAGUAAUGUCUGGGAAUCUGCCUGGUAGUGGGGGAUAACGUCCGGAAACGGGCGCUAAUACCGCAUACUAUCAGAUGAGCCUAGGUCGGAUUAGCUAGUUGGUGGGGUAAAGGCCUACCAAGGCGACGAUCCCUAGCUGGUCUGAGAGGAUGACCAGCCACACUGGAACUGAGACACGGUCCAGACUCCUACGGGAGGCAGCAGUGGGGAAUAUUGCACAAUGGGCGCAAGCCUGAUGCAGCCAUGCCGCGUGUAUGAAGAAGGCCUUCGGGUUGUAAAGUACUUUCAGCGAGGAGGCGUUACUCGCAGAAGAAGCACCGGCUAACUCCGUGCCAGCAGCCGCGGUAAUUC
RNAcentral lists this ribosomal RNA (406 nucleotides) under uncultured bacterium. RNAcentral's name for it is "partial 16S ribosomal RNA". It matches the Rfam family "Bacterial small subunit ribosomal RNA", at positions 30 to 526 of the family's 1533-position model. The record is from RNAcentral.